AUUAAUAUGCAUCGUUUCUUUUUUUCAUUGUUUUUUCAAGGAGUCUGCUGCUAUAGGUCCAGUCAUCUGGCUUAAUGGACCUAGAAGCAACUUAUUAUUCUCCCUAUAUGUCACACAAGAUGUAACUUACUAUGAGGGAAAAAAAGAAAGAAAAAGAGGUUCAAACUUUGUCUCAAAACAGCAGCUAUGAGGUAUCAAAUUUUGUCGGCAGUGCCGUAGUGGUGUGUUUCAUAUACACAUGACUGUCUAAGAAUCUGAUACAACUUUUGAAUUCGGUAGAGGGUAGAUGCAUGAUUACAUGGUGUAAUGCCACAAGUUUGAGCCAGUAUUUAGUACUCUCGGGGGAGUUGCCAGAGGGCGAUAAAGCUAUUCUCAAGCACCUCUAAAAGUGAGCUGACCAGUACCAAAUCCAAGAGUUUUAAGCUGGAUUUUCGUUUUGAAAAAUCAAAGAUAAUAUGCUGGCACUACGAUAUAAUAUUAUUAGGGUGUGUGGAAUUAAAGCCGAAACAAAGAACGAGGUUUAGACUUGGCGAAUCAAAAACACAAAUGCGGAAUCAAAUUUUGUCAUCCAGAAUUCAUACUACUUUUUAAGAAUCUGAUAGAAUGAUUAGAUAAGAUGCAUAAUGGUGGUGUUUAUGUGCUAGCAAAUGAGUGUUGCCCUUCGCUCAGGCAAACAACGCUUAGAUGAUUAUUGAUGUUUUCAGUAUAUUCCUGUGAGAAAGAGUGGUCAAAGCCUACAAGUUUAAAAUGUAACUUGCGAAUGAAGGUCGAUGCAUAAAAUAUCUUAAUUUUUUUUAAAUGAGUUUUUGAGCAAUCAAUAAACAAUUGAGAGAUAGAUUAGGUAGUAUUUUUUUGUAACAUGUGAUGCUACAAAACAUUUUUGCAUUGUUAAUAUCAUUGAUAAAUAU
Molecule: long non-coding RNA, 908 nt
Organism: Papaver somniferum (opium poppy)
Lineage: Eukaryota; Viridiplantae; Streptophyta; Magnoliopsida; Ranunculales; Papaveraceae
Exons: 3
Source: RefSeq, a predicted model, not a curated record